GUUUGGCCUCGGAUCAGGCGGGGAUACCCGCUGAACUUAAGCAUAUCAAUAAGCGGAGGAAAAGAAACCAACUGGGAUUGCCUCAGUAACGGCGAGUGAAGCGGCAACAGCUCAAAUUUGAAAUCUGGCGCCUUGGGCGUCCGAGUUGUAAUUUGUAGAGGGAGUCUCGGGUUAAGGGUCGGUCCAAGUGCCUUGGAACAGGAUACCGAAGAGGGUGAGAGUCCCGUAUCCGGCCGACGCCAGCGCCCGUGUGAGGCCCCUUCGACGAGUCGAGUUGUUUGGGAAUGCAGCUCUAAAUGGGUGGUAAAUUCCAUCUAAAGCUAAAUACUGGCCAGAGACCGAUAGCGCACAAGUAGAGUGAUCGAAAGAUGAAAAGCACUUUGAAAAGAGAGUCAAACAGUACGUGAAAUUGUUGAAAGGGAAGCGUAUGUGGGCAGACUUGGACGCUGGAUUCAGGCCGYCUUCUGGCGGGUGYAUUUUCCAGCGGACAGGCCAGCAUCGGUUCUGAGGGCCGGACAAAGACGAAGGGAAUGUGGCUCCUCUCUGGGGAGUGUUAUAGCCCGGCGUGCAAUGCGGCCACUUGGGACCGAGGACCGCGCAUUUUGCAAGGAUGCUGGCGUAAUGGCCUCAUACGGCCCGUCUUGAAACACGGACC
RNAcentral lists this ribosomal RNA (655 nucleotides) under Verruconis gallopava. RNAcentral describes it as "LSU rRNA". It matches the Rfam family "Eukaryotic large subunit ribosomal RNA", at positions 1 to 667 of the family's 3401-position model. The record is from RNAcentral. Lineage: Eukaryota; Fungi; Ascomycota; Dothideomycetes; Venturiales; Sympoventuriaceae.